Molecule: RNA transcript, 3224 nt
Organism: Rhinopithecus roxellana (golden snub-nosed monkey)
Lineage: Eukaryota; Metazoa; Chordata; Mammalia; Primates; Cercopithecidae
Exons: 2
Source: RefSeq, a predicted model, not a curated record
GUCCUCCUGGCGCCCGCCCGCCCCCGGCCCCUGCGGGGCGCAGCUCUGCGUGUUCUCAUGCCGACCCUCUCUUUUUCCUUCCUCGCUGCCUCCCCGAGGUCCUCCCUCCGAGCCCCGGCGCGGGGCAUGAGGAGCCCCCGGGUGCCGCCCAAAGACGAGCCGGUUGCGCGCACACCUCGCCAGCGGCAGACGGGGACAUGAGCAGCGCGCACAGGGUCCCGAGCCCGGCGGCCAGCCCCAUCCGGCGGCGGCCCGCGGGUCAACGCUGCCCGGGAGAAUGAGGCAGGAGCCGGCGGCAGCCUCCUUUUUUUCCUCCUCUUCGCCUUCCUGCGGCUCCGGCGCUCCGGACCCGGGCCGAGCUUUGGCUCUGCUGCGUGCCCCGCGCGCCCCCCAGCCGGCUCCGGAUGCGCUUCUCGGUUAGCCUGGCGAGGAAGAUAAAGACAUUUGCAACCAAGAUGGUAAUCACAAGUGGAAAUGAUGAAGACAGAGGAGGUCAAGAAAAAGAAAGUAAGGAGGAGAGUGUCUUGGCAAUGCUGGGGAUUAUCGGGACCAUUCUGAACCUGAUUGUGAUCAUAUUUGUCUACAUAUACACCACCCUGUGAAUGGCCCAGAGCGUCCUCAGAGGCCUCGGGAUGGCCAGAGACGGAAGUCCUGCGUGUCAGCGUAUCACUGACCAGACCCUGCGAGAACCAGCAGGCUUGACCCACCCACACCACCCAGUCAAAUGCACCUUCAGACUUUACAGAAGGUCACACAAAUAGACCGAUCCUGCUGCAGGGAGCAGACACUAAAGCACAAUGAUUCCAACAAAACUCAUUCACAGCACUAGGAACUCAACGUCUUUGGCAGGGGGCCCAGAAGAAUGCUUGGACAACCAGCCUCUGACACCAUCGGUGAGCGGAUGGGUGCAGAAAUUCAUUAUUCCAGAUCGCUGACGGAUAUCACAUAUUUGAAAAGAUGAAUAGGGCGGACACGGCUCAGAGGUGUGUCUCCCAGGACAAGUGUUUCAUCUUCACUUGACGAGCUAUUUAGUGGAAAAACCACAGGGGCAGCCCUUUGACAGGCAUCCCAUUCAUCAAAAGUGUCUAACUAUUUGAUACCAGGGAGAUAACUUAUUUUUCUUUUUUCAUUGGCUUGAUGUGUGUAUCUGUUCAUAUCAAGGUUUAUAAAUAUAUAUUUUUAAUAAAUAUGCUGUAUUUUUUAGCAUGAACCAAAUACUUGGAAAGGCACUCCCAGAUCCAUAGAGCUUUCCUUGGUUUUAUGUGCUUUGUCCUCCCCCAACUGCAGGUGUUCUCUUGUGGAGCCAUUCUAGUCCUCUUGUCUCAUCUCGAAUCUUUUACUUUUGCGCUCUUGUUCUCUCUCUCUCUCUCCUUUUCUCUCUCUCUGCCUCUUUGGUCUGAAGGACAUUUUCCCAUACUACCAGCCAUGGUUUUGGUUGGUGCAUGUUUCAAGAUUGUCUAUUGAGUGGCUUUUUGUUGUUCUCUCGGAGAUGUCAAACGAUUGUGGGCAUGCAGACCUUAGAUGCACCCUAUCUUUACUGAGAAUUAUGCAUGAAUAAGGGCUGAGUGAUAGAUCAGCUUAAAAUUAAAAGGACUACUGUUGAGGAAGAAGAGCGUGGCUGUAUUUGCAGAUGAACUUUUGAACAGAAUAUUCAGCUUCUUAUUGGCAGUGUUAUUGUUUCAUUCUUGUGACCAUUCGUUUAUCAGAUUUUGAUUUUAGUGGUCAUAUACCGUGACAGUUGGGAAGAACAAGGCGGAAAGCUCAGAACUAGGUGCAUUACUCCUUCCUUGGCAAGAUACCUGGGAUCCUCUUCAAAAGUGGGUGGGGUAUAAAUGACACAAGAACUCCCCCAUGAGAGCUCAUGGUGGUUCAGGCUGUGAGGACAGCCUUGUGACAAGUGACUUUUCAGGGGCAUAACGAGGGGAUUUAAUGAUUGCCCUAAAGGACUGCUGCAUUUUUAAAGCCCCUGGUUUACACCCACGUGAAGCAACUUCCUCUCUGGCAGGGAUGGUUGCAUAAAAACAAAUUGGCUCCCUUCUCCUGGCUCCCUGAAAUGGGUCCUUGCCUGGCUACAGUGACAUGGCCUAAAAGAGAGGGUUAGUAUUCCUUCUGCCAUUGCCAGCUGUAUUAAUCGGUUUUCACACUGCUGAUAAAGACAUCCCUAAGACUGGGCAAUUUACAAAAGAAAGAGGUUUAUUGGACUUACAGUUCCACAUGGCUGAGGAGGCCUCACAAUCACGGUGGAAGGUGAAAGGCACGUCUCACAUGGUGGCAGACAAGAAAAGUGAACCAUGUGCAAGGAGACUCCCAUUUUUAAAACAGAUCUCGUGAGACUUACUCACUAUCAUGCAAACAGCAUGGGAAACCUGCCCCCAUGAUUCAGUUACCUCCCACUGGGUCCCUCCCACAACAUGUGGGAAUUCAAGAUGAGAUUUGGGUGGUGUGACAGCCAAACUGUAUCACCAGCCUUGCCCCUAGGCAAAAGCAGCAGCAGUCUGCCUGGCUGGAUUCAAAUGAUUCUGAGGCUUCUAUAGUCUAUGCCUCCAGAUCUCUCCCUCACCCAUGCUGUGGUGUCUGAAAUUCCGUCGUUAGAGAGUCAUUUCUUGGGCUCUGUUAAAGGGACCAGGCUCAUUUAUAAAGCAAAUGCUCCUGAGCAGCUGGCUCUGGCAUUGAUUUAUCAGAUAUCUUCUCUUCCCUGCCAGAAGGAAGGAAGCUAAGGUGCAGGUAGGGUGUACCGUGUGCCCAGACACUGUGCCAAAAGCUUUGGAUACUUGGAGUCAUUUAAUUCUCGUAGUAACCCUGUGAGAGAGGGAGGUUUUCCUCCCCCACGUUGUAGAAGAAGGGAAAAUGGUUCAGAGAGAUCAAGAAAUGUCCCUGAGAUCACAUUGCUCCUGGUGGAGUCAGGAUCCAAACCCAAUGUGUCUGAUUCCUUAGCCCUUGGGGGUCUGGAGGCUGCUGAACAAGAGAGGAGGUGGAGAGGAGCUAAAGCCGCAGGAUACCACUGUACACCCUUCUCCCUCCCCUGUAAAAACAACCCUGGGAACUCCUUGGACACUAGCAGAAUAUUAUACACUAAGGACAAGGGAUGAGAGGAGGCUGGUUAGAAAUAAAGCAAUGUCAGGGGAAAGGAGCUACUCAGUAGGCUCUAUGUGAUUCUAGAAAGACUGUAUGAAAAUUCUGAACAUUGAACAGAAUAAAUAAUAAAGGUGCAAUGGAAAAAAAUA